UCGACGGCACGCGGGUUUCGACCUGGCGGCGAGUGGCGAACGGGUGAGGAAGACAUCGGAACGUGUUCACGAGAGGGGGAUAGCCCGGCGAAAGCCGGAUUAAUACCGCAUACACUCUGAGGAGAAAAGUAGGGGACCAAGUGGAAGAAAAAUCCACAAGGCCUUACGCUAGUGAGGCGGCCGAUGGCAGAUUAGCUAGUUGGUGGGGUAAAGGCCUACCAAGGCGACGAUCUGUAGCUGGUCUGAGAGGACGGCCAGCCACACUGGGACUGAGACACGGCCCAGACUCCUACGGGAGGCAGCAGUGGGGAAUUUUGGACAAUGGGGGCAACCCUGAUCCAGCAAUGCCGCGUGUGCGAAGAAGGCCUUCGGGUUGUAAAGCACUUUUAUCUAGAAAGAAAGCAUCUGAGUAAAUAAUUCAGAUAGAUGACGGUACUAGAAGAAUCAGCACCGGCUAACUACGUGCCAGCAGCCGCGGUAAUACGUAGGGUGCGAGCGUUAAUCGGAAUGACUGGGCGUAAAGGGUGCGCAGGCGGUUUGUUAAGACGGAUGUGAAAGCCCUGGGCUUAACCUAGGAAUGGCAUCCGUGACUGACAGACUA
RNAcentral lists this ribosomal RNA (601 nucleotides) under Burkholderiaceae bacterium IAS_5. RNAcentral's name for it is "bacterial SSU rRNA". It matches the Rfam family "Bacterial small subunit ribosomal RNA", at positions 62 to 643 of the family's 1533-position model. Lineage: Bacteria; Pseudomonadati; Pseudomonadota; Betaproteobacteria; Burkholderiales; Burkholderiaceae. The record is from RNAcentral.